CAAUAAGCGGAGGAAAAGAAACUAACAAGGAUUCCCCUAGUAACUGCGAGUGAAGCGGGAAAAGCUCAAAUUUAAAAUCUGGCGGUCUAUGGCUGUCCGAGUUGUAAUCUAGAGAAGUAAUGCCCGCGCUGGACCGUGUACAAGUCUCCUGGAAUGGAGCGUCAUAGAGGGUGAGAAUCCCGUCUCUGACACGGACUACCAGGGCUUUGUGGUAUGCUCUCAAAGAGUCGAGUUGUUUGGGAAUGCAGCUCUAAAUGGGUGGUAAAUUCCAUCUAAAGCUAAAUAUUGGCGAGAGACCGAUAGCGAACAAGUACCGUGAGGGAAAGAUGAAAAGAACUUUGGAAAGAGAGUUAAACAGUACGUGAAAUUGCUGAAAGGGAAACGCUUGAAGUCAGUCGCGUUAGCUAGGAAUCAGCCUUGCUUUUGCUUGGUGUAUUUUCUGGUUGACGGGUCAGCAUCAAUUUUGACUGCUGGAAAAAGGCCUUGGGAAUGUGGCAGCUUUGGCUGUGUUAUAGCCCUUGGUCACAUACAGCAGUUGGGAUUGAGGAACUCAGCACGCCGCAAGGCCGGGUUUCGACCACGUUCGUGCUUAGGAUGCUGGCAUAAUGGCUUUAAGCGACCCGUCUUGAAACACGGACCAAGGAGUCUAACAUGCCUGCGAGUGUUUGGGUGGUAAACCCUUGCGCGUAAUGAAAGUGAAAGUUGAGAUCCCUGUCGUGGGGAGCAUCGACGCCCGGACUUGAACUUUUGUGACGGAUCCGCGGUAGAGCAUGUAUGUUGGGACCCGAAAGAUGGUGAACUAUGCCUGAAUAGGGUGAAGCCAGAGGAAACUCUGGUGGAGGCUCGUAGCGAUUCUGACGUGCAAAUCGAUCGUCAAAUUUGGGUAUAGGGGCGAAAGACUAAUCGAACCAUC
This 913-nucleotide ribosomal RNA is filed under the name uncultured Morganella. RNAcentral's name for it is "partial 18S ribosomal RNA". It matches the Rfam family "Eukaryotic large subunit ribosomal RNA", at positions 44 to 944 of the family's 3401-position model. The record is from RNAcentral. Lineage: Eukaryota; Fungi; Basidiomycota; Agaricomycetes; Agaricales; Lycoperdaceae.